Molecule: ribosomal RNA, 561 nt
Filed under: uncultured bacterium
Lineage: Bacteria
Description: bacterial SSU rRNA
Rfam family: Bacterial small subunit ribosomal RNA
Source: RNAcentral
AGUGAGGAAUAUUGGUCAAUGGGCGAGAGCCUGAACCAGCCAAAUCGCGUGAAGGAUGAAGGUAUUAUGUAUUGUAAACUUCUUUUAUAGGGGAAUAAAGUGCGGGACGUGUCCCGUUUUGUAUGUACCCUGAGAAUAAGGAUCGGCUAACUCCGUGCCAGCAGCCGCGGUAAUACGGAGGAUCCAAGCGUUAUCCGGAUUUAUUGGGUUUAAAGGGUGCGUAGGCGGGUAAUCAAGUCAGCGGUGAAAGUUUGCGGCUCAACCGUAAAAUUGCCGUUGAAACUGGUUACCUUGAGUGUAGAUGAGGUGGGUGGAAUUCGUGGUGUAGCGGUGAAAUGCUUAGAUAUCACGAAGAACUCCAAUUGCGUAGGCAGCUCACUGGGCUACAACUGACGCUGAGGCACGAAGGUGCGGGGAUCAAACAGGAUUAGAUACCCUGGUAGUCCGCACAGUAAACGAUGAAUGCUAGCUGUUGGCGAUACACAGUCAGUGGCACAGCGAAAGCGUUAAGCAUUCCACCUGGGGAGUACGCCGGCAACGGUGAAACUCAAAGGAAUUGAC